GGGUGUGAGGGCUAUCUGGCUGCAACAUCUGUCACGCCAUUGAUCACCAGGGUUGAUUCGGCUGAUCUGGCUGGCUGCGCGGGUGUCCCCUGCCUCCCUCACCCGCUCCCUGUGCGUCCCUCCUGAAGCUGUGCGCUCGGUCAAAGAGGACGACUUUCCCUGAAUAGAGGAGGACUGGUCUUCAGUCAAGGGUAGUUAGUCAUCCUUGUGUUACUAUAAGAAACAGUUCGUAUAAUCACAGGAGGUUUUAGUCCAUG
This 257-nucleotide small RNA is filed under the name Jaculus jaculus (lesser Egyptian jerboa). RNAcentral's name for it is "7SK RNA (ENSJJAG00000002019.1)". The stretch from base 1 to 198 matches the Rfam family "7SK RNA". From Rfam's summary of the family: 7SK was discovered as an abundant small nuclear RNA in the mid-70s but a possible function has only recently been suggested. Lineage: Eukaryota; Metazoa; Chordata; Mammalia; Rodentia; Dipodidae. The record is from RNAcentral.